This 488-nucleotide ribosomal RNA is filed under the name uncultured bacterium. RNAcentral's name for it is "bacterial SSU rRNA". It matches the Rfam family "Bacterial small subunit ribosomal RNA", at positions 28 to 507 of the family's 1533-position model. The record is from RNAcentral.
GACGAACGCUGGCGGCGUGGAUUAGGCAUGCAAGUCGAACGGUAUCAUCCUUUCGGGGAUGAGAGAGUGGCGAACGGGUGAGUAACACGUAGGUGAUCUACCCUCAAGACGGGGACAACCCAGGGAAACUUGGGCUAAUACCGGAUGUGAGCUAUCGUGAGAUAGUUUGAAAGGUGGCUUCGGCUGCCGCUUGAGGAUGAGCCUGCGUCCUAUUAGCUAGUUGGUGAGGUAACGGCUCACCGAGGCAGUGAUAGGUAGGCGGCCUUAACGGGUGGUCGCCCACACUGGGAUUGAGAUACGGCCCAGACUCCUACGGGAGGCAGCAGUCGAGAAUAGUCUACAAUGGUCGAAAGACUGAUAGUGCGACGCCGCGUGAACGAAGAAGCCCUUCGGGGUGUAAAGUUCUUUUAUAUGUGAGCAGUGACAUCUAUAUUAAUAGUAUGGGUGUAGAGAUAUUAGCAUAUGAAUAAGCAACGGCUGACUCCGUG